This 124-nucleotide microRNA precursor is filed under the name Hordeum vulgare. RNAcentral describes it as "microRNA MIR1122". It matches the Rfam family "MIR1120/MIR1122 microRNA precursor family". The record is from RNAcentral. Lineage: Eukaryota; Viridiplantae; Streptophyta; Magnoliopsida; Poales; Poaceae.
AUGGUACUUCUUCCAUCUGAAAAUACUUAUCCUAAAUAUAGAUGUAUCUAGAUUUAUUUUAUUUAUAGAUAUAUCUAUUUUAUAUAUUUUUAGGACAAGUAUUUCCGAACGGAGAAAGUACGAC